Molecule: long non-coding RNA, 7547 nt
Filed under: Vitis vinifera (wine grape)
Lineage: Eukaryota; Viridiplantae; Streptophyta; Magnoliopsida; Vitales; Vitaceae
Description: long non-coding RNA (VVIN_LNC000076)
Source: RNAcentral
GCUUAACUGUCUUGUAUACCCCAUGUAUACUUUGUGGCGUGUUGCCUUUUGAAUGAAUAUACUUUACUUAUCAAAAAAAAAAAAUUAUUGUCAAACGCAUCCUAAGGAUAAAGUUGGGCUGCUUACUGGAAACCAAAUCCUUCUGCUGCUAAGGCGUAUGCUUUCAAACUACCGGCUCUACUAACCUAUUACUUCCAACCAUAAAACUAAUACAAUGUUCUACCACUACAACUUGGUUGGAACACUUUGUUUGCCAAUAGUUUGCCCAUUCAAGGACUUCGCCAUACAAGAAAAUGGAGAGUAGUAACUUUUUAAAAUUAAAAGGAGAAAAACCCUAAUUACAAAAUAACCAUUGUAAAGCAAUUCAUCUUUCCCCCACAACGAUCUACUGCAACACUACUACAGAUACUACCACCACUCUUUAUUGUUAAUUCUAAAAGGAAAAUUGUUAGCACCGUGGUAGCUGUCCUGGGUUCCUUCAAUCAAGGUUUUGAAGGACUUCCCCAAUAUGGAUGUGCUUUGGUUGCUGCUGCACAGUUAUGAGGGGACAAUGAUUCUCCAUCGUUGUGUCAAAAUGAGGCUUUCGUUUAGAUCGUCUUAGAUUCUGAGAGGUUGAAAAACCCCCCAUCAUAGUCUCUGCAUCUUGUUUUGGCUUUCGAGGUCUUCCUCGUCGUAGAUUCUGAGAGGAUGAAAAAUCCCUAACCGUAAUCUCUGCGUCUCGUUUUAGCUUACGAGGUCUCCCUCGCCCUCGAUUCUGUGGUGGGUGCUGUUGAUAAGACUCAUGCUGCAAAGGCAACAAUGCUUCAUCUCUUGUAAUUGUAUCAGGUUGUGGUUCAGGAGGCCUUCCUUGGCCUCGAUGCUGGGACAAUGUAUGCUGAGGAGGACCUAUGGGCAGCAAUGCCCCUGCAUCUGUAUCCUCUUCUGGUAUAGAAGCUAUGCCUUGGUGUUGAGAUUGUGGCUGUUGCUCCUCAAAAUGAUGCUGAGUAUUGACUGGGGGCAAUGAAUCAAACGGGCUCUUCCUCCUAUUUUGUUGCUUUGGCAGCUCCUCUACAGAUUCCCCCUCAUCUUCCACCCUAGGGCUAGAGGAUUCAACAGGUAUGACCAUCAAAGUAGCACAAUUAUCAUCAUUGAGGCAUGAUGAUUGCAGUAACUCGGAUCUCACCUCAUUUUGUUGUCCUUGUGAUUGAUUUUUUCCUUCAUUCACUUGAUAAUCCUGUUCGUUUGCUCCAUCAAUGACAUAAUUUUCAUGUUUUUGUGCUUGACUCAAUUCUUUAAUCACCACUUUCUCUUGUUCUCCUAGUUGAUUUUUUUUUUCAACCACUGCUUCCUUAUCAUAAAUACCACGGCGUCCCCUACCCUGAUGACGCUUCCGCUUCUGCUGCUUUUCUUUCCGCUUAGGGUUAGGGUUUCCGGUUGGAAUCAUAUAAUGAUCAUCAGAUGUAACAACAAUGUCACCAUUCUGAGCAAGUUUACAAAGAUGGUGACUUAGAUAACUUGAAUGAGCCCAAGGCACUUCAUAAUUUGAUUUAAUGAACUCUGACAGAGAUUUCUCACUUGAACCCCUUUUUUCUUUCAAUGUCUUAAUCGCAUCCAAUAUCAUCUGCACAAAAACCAGACUUUCACCAUUUCACAAAUGGAAAUCAAAACUUAUCAAUGCGAUUACAUGUAGCUGUAUAACCCAAUAAAAUCAAUACAGACAAUGAACUGGUUUCCCAAAUUUUAUGACUUUGGAAUGAAAAGAACCCUUCUUUUCCUUCAAACAAUCAUGAUAAAUACACUCACACCACAAAAUUGCUCUUUUCCCGGGAAUUUUUAUUUGGCAAUUAGAUUAAAUCAAAUGGAGAACUUUGUUCUCGAUUCAAAAAACUUUAAACCCUCCUCAUUUUCAUAAAAUAAUAGCAGAAAAAGAAAAAAAGAAAAGUACCCAAGCGUAGGGAGGGUGAUCAGGGGUUCGGAUCACGGGGAAUAACUGGAGAAGACGCUUUUCGAUGCACUUCUUUGUUUCCUCAGACAAUGGCGUAGCUGAAUCCAAGGUCAUUGCCCCCAAUACUGCUUUUUUCAACUUGUCCAUGUUUCGUUUUUGUUUGUGAUUUUGGGAAGUGGUACGAGGGUUAGGGUUUUGGGGUUGAGAAUCCAUUUGGGUUCAGCGAAGCAACAGCGGGAAAUCAGGGAUAGAAAAUCGAAAUCAUGGAAAAAAAAUAUCUACCUAAAUUUCAGAGAGGAGUGAAGGAGGAAGAACACUACGGCAAGCAUAUUGUAAAAUAUUUUGAGAUAAUGAUCAACCACCUAAUAACGUGGAUUAGUAACAAAGUCAAACUUAGCUCGAAGUGGAAAACCAAAAUUAAAGGGCAAUUAUAUCUAAAUUAAAGCGAAAACAAAGAGCACGUACCCGCUGAAAAAAAUGUAUCUAAAUUAAUUAUCUCCUUCUUGUUAUUUCUGUCUACCCUUUCCAGAAAAUAGUGCUAAUCCGAAGAAUUGAUCACAAAAAUUGAAAUCCAAAUUCGAGAAAACAAAUGAAGAAAAAAUUAAGUUGGUUGAAUUAAAAUAUGUAACAAAAUUUUAAAUUGUUAAUAUAAAUUUUAUCCAGGUUUGGAUAUAUUUUUUUAAAUUUAGGCUGCAUUUGCCUGCAGCCUGCUGCUUCUACCCCUGUUUAUUGCUUUCUAUCCAGAUUUGGAUAUAUCACUUCUAUAAAAAUCUUGAGAUUUCUUGUGAAAAAUAAGAACCGCAAUCUUAAUAUACGAAUUUGAACUGAAGACAGAAGAAAAAAUUAAUAAAAAAAAAUGGACAAAGAAAUCAAUCAAUUAAUAAACUAAAAACUGAAUCAAUCAGAAAAUAAAUGGAAAAUGAUACAUUUAGACAACCGCGUCAGAAGAAAAGUUGGGUUGUAAUUCAUUAAAGGUCUAGAACUUCUCAGAAUAAUCACACGGAGAAACCGAACAGCAACAGGGGAAAAAGGGAGGUAAUAAAUCAUUGUUCGGUUGCCUCACACGGGGAACGUGAAGGUAUCCAAACACUUCCAUAGGGGAUUGAUCCAGACCAUGGUUUUGUCCAUCUUAUGGGAUAAAAGUUAAUCAAUAACAUAACAUAUAUACAAAGGUAGACAGACAUAACUGCAACAUAUCCCAACCUCACUAGAACUUCCCUUUCUUUCUUUCUUUUUUUUUUUUUUUUCUUUUUUUUUUUAACAUUUUCUGUUCAUUAGGUUGCAAUCAUCCUUCUAAGUGAUAUCAUGAAAACAUAAGUGAGUUUUUGCAUAAACAUUUUAUUACAAUUAUCCAACCAUCUAAAUACGAAGGUCUACCUGCCACAUCCAUUUUUACAGCCAACAAAGUUUGAGUCCCAAGUUAAACGAAUAGAGUGAGAGAUGAAGUUGCAGAGCUGCAAAACCUCCCACACCCACUGCAUUCACCAUUUUGCUGAUCUACAUUUGGCAGAGUUUGCAUUCCCACUGAAGUAAGGUCUGAAGGUUUUCAUCACUUCCUCAUAUGUCGGCCUCUUGUAGUCCACUGCCUGUUGCCAAUCAUUUCCCAUGCUUACUAAGCCCUUAAUACAUACAAAAUAACCCCAAAUUUAAGAAUAUUCGUGAUUGAAGUUUUUGCAGCAUACCUGCUCAAUAACUUCUUCAGGGUUUGACCAUUUCCACUCUGAGAAUUCUGGUUCUGCUUCACCACUUGCUAAGUUGACUUCACUGUCGUCUUUUGUUAAUCUCAUAAGGAACCUGUCAAUUUUCCAAACUUUUAGACUAAAGAUUCUCUUUUCAUUUUUUUUCUCAUUCAUUUUCAAAGCCUCAUAUAAUAGUAAGAAAAAAGAAAAAAUCCCACAAAUAUCUUGAUAGCACAAAGUUUGAAGACAUGUGUACAAUAAAAAAGAACAAGUGCAUUCUGUUUUCAGAUACAGUAAAAGGUUCUCAUUUCUGAAGCCAAAUAUAGUGUUAGAUAUCAGCAGGGAUGUUCCCCUCUUUUCAGUAUUUGUUAGAAUAUCAAAACCUUUCAUUUAGGCUUCAUAACCUGCAAUUCAUAACACAAGGAAGAAUAUCCUAACCGAUCACAGGAUACAAUAUCUAGUUGAUGAGCACAAGCUUUUGAAAUUGUAAAUUAAAACAUUAGUAUCUACUUCCACUUUGGAGAAAAUGAAAGUUCAUUCCAAUCUCCCAAAUUAUGCCUAAAACUUCACUAACAUGCUAGAAUCCUGUUUGAUCUAUCAGAAAGAAUACUAUAAAUUCUGUUUAAAUAGGUAAAUGUUACCUAGACUUAAAAAUCAUUAUCUCACCUUAAUUUCCAUCUAAAUCUUCAGUUUUUUUUGCUACAUGUGAAUUUAUGGAUAUGAUUGGCCUCACAUUGAUUCCAUGAGGGCUUGUUGACAAUGCUUUUCUUGUCAUCAAAUGACCAAGACCAAUUUCACAAAUAUGGAAUCCUUAAAUUAGGGUUAAAUGAUUCUCUGAGCUCCACAUGUGGAGAGAUAAUCAAGUGAAUGAAUCAUGAAUAAACCAGGUAAUUGAGGUUGAACCUUUACUGCUAUCAAUUUGAAAAAGUGCCAGAAAAGUUGCCUGAAAACUCAACUUCCAAAGGUUUUCUGAACAUACAACCAGCUACCCUAAGAGGGAUAAUUAUAUUUUUCUCUUUGUUGUCACAUGCGCAUCCAAUAUACCACAGAUAUCCAUUUUUCAUAACAAUCAGAACCAAGUUGAAUCCCUACAUGAUAUGAUCUAGACACAUGUUGAAACUAUAUAUUAAAGUAAGAUUCAAACAAAAAAUCAGGCAUAUUCAAUGGCUGCCAUUAUUAUUGUUAUUUUAUAAACAUUGCAAUUCCAAUGAAAACUGAGAAUGAUAUAGCAUGUACCACUUCUGCGCCUGACCAUGCCAUUCACCUCGCCACAGGCGAUUGACUUUGGCCUUCACAGCAGGAGGGAAGUCAUACGUCAACCAAUUUGGGACCUGUCAAAGACACCCUUAAUUAUAGAAAAAAAAAAGGUCUUAAUUGUAUACUAGUUCACUAGAUUAACAGGAAGGCAACUUUGAAGAGCAUAUCAUAAAGAAUGAUGUAUAAUGCAUUCAAUUGAUUAUGCUAUACCAUGAUCAUGUUAUAUAUAUUUAAUAUCUUCAUCAGGAUGACUCUAAAAGGAUAAAACAUAAGCUCAAAAAGUAACUAAAAGGGAAACUAUUAUGUAAUAGAAUUGAGAGUUCAAGGAACUGCUAAGCAUUCAAGUAGUGAAGUCAAGUUAAAUAUCCCGACUCUAACCAUCAAAAAGAUUCUAAAAAUUUUAAAACUAGGGACAAAGAAUUGUUCAAAUCAAUAUGUGAUGUAGCAACUAAUUAGCUGUAUUUCUCAAAUGAGCCUCAGCUCUCUCACAAGAGAAGGAAUAGAUUAAUUGCCCUUGGGGCCUGGCUCAAGUGGCACGGGGUGGGGAUGGGGAUGGGGAUGUGGAUGUGGAUGUGGAAUAUCCCAGAUUCAAUGCCUAGGAACAAAAAAAUUACCUGUGAAAAACAAAAAGAGAGAAGAAUGGAUGAAUUAGAAGAUCUGGGUGUUUCUUUACAGGGUAAAAGGAUGGUGGAGGGUGGGGUGGGGGUUGUCAUCACUAAAACAUGAAUAUCUCGGUGUGCCACACACCAAUAUUGAACUACAAGAACAGCCAACUAGAGAAUUACAUAAUUUUCCUCUCCUGAUAAUUACAGGAGAACUUUAUGUCAGCAUUAAGCAUAGCAUACCCUUGUGUGUGAUGCAACAGAAAACUGGAGCAUGUAAAAGUUUCUUCUUUUACCAACCUCAGCAAUAAUUUCGGCAGACACUAUUCCAGUUUCUUCUCUCAAUUCCCUCAUGGCCGCAGACUUGGGUUCUUCACCAUCUUCAAUACCCCCCUAAAAUUGAGAAUCCCAAAAGUGGCAAUUAAGCUUGUUGAGAGAUGUCGCCAACAUAUUGGUGAUAAAAAAAAUGAGAAUAUUACAAGUAAAGCCAAGCUAAUAUGUAUGUGUGUGUGUGUGUGUGUGUAUGUAUAGAAGCAUCUUAAAACAAUGUAACAAUGUAUAAGAGGGCUAUUUUUUUAGUGAUCAGCACCAAAACAGGGCAAGUGCCUACUAUAUAUCUAAAAAGAAUAUAAAGCAAAAUUCAAUAGAUGAUUUGUCUCCACAGUAUCUGUCCAUAAGUAUGAAAGUUCCCAUCAGGUCACAAAGACAAUAAUAUAUUCUUGAGUUAUAAGAUCUAAUGGUUUUCUAUAUUUAAACAGAGCAUCUAUCAAGGUAUAACCUGAGGCAUCUGCCAUGCACCUGGAACAUUCAAUCUGGAAGCCACAAAAACCUGCAAAAAAGAAAAAAAAGAGAAGGUAAAUGUAUGCUUAUUUGAAGUGUAAAAUACUAACCAUGAAAAUUGCUCUCUAUUUCCAAUAUACUCCACCUAAGUGAUGGAUAUAAUCACAAUAUAGUGACUUCUUUUCAAGACAAAAGUUGCACAUGUUGAGGAAUUCUUUCAAACAGCACAAUUUAGAACAUCAACUAAAAUGCUGUUUCAUGCAUUUGAUUGAGUUCAGCCACAAAGCAUGACAAGCUAAAAAUCGGUAUGAUUAUAGUUCCAAUUUUCAAUUUUCAGCUUGAUUUUGACCCAACAGUUCAAAGAUGAGUAACCAUGAAAUGCUGUAGCCAAUCAAAUUGCCAUCCAGAUUACAGAGAUCCAGAUGUGGUAAACUGGCAUAACAAAAUGUUAACUUCAUGCAUCACUUGCUAAACAUUUUGAAAGUACUUUUCUUGCAUUAAAGAUAAUUUUUUUCUCUUGUUUAGGCUCUAACAACAAAAAUGGUACCUCGAAAAUACUAGUCAAACAUUAACUUAGGAUUCCAAAAUCCUCGGUUGAUUGUACAGUAUCUUUAUCUUUUGUAAGACAACUAAAAAAAUAGUAACAAGAAAUGCAAGCCUGAUAGAAUGGAAAAUGGCAAUUUUAUGAUAAUGACCAAUUAUUCAACUUACAUCACCUAAAACAAGCAGGCUUGCAGUUCAACUAGCUUAUCACAUUCUAUCAAGUAAUUUAAAUAUGCCUAUCCCUGUUAUUCCACAUUCCAAAUUAAAUACCAUACAAUUCUGUUUCAGUACCUCAGAGCCAAUGUUUAAGGUAACACUGGUCCAGAUUCCAAGAUUUUCAUCAGCUGGAGUUAAGAAAACAGAAAUUUCUUGAAUCCAAAGAUUCAGCUCUAAUUUUUCCAACUUUUACAAAUCAUAUGGCUAAAAUCUUAAGUUUUCAACAAUAAAAUAAAAAUUAUACAAAGCAAACAAUUUUUCCCAAAAAAGUUGCCAAAUCUGCCUGAAGCAGUCAAAAUCUAGUUAUACUUCUACUUGCAUCCCUAUAUAUCAAGCCAUAACCUCCUAAAUUUUUUUAGCAAAUGUUAUGCUCGUUGCUUCCUCUGUUCAAUUCUUUUUCUUUGAGUGCUUUGAACGCUUAAUCAGGGAGCCAACUAACUAAUUCAUCUUCCUUUUACAGGUAGACAGAGAAAACUAGCAUAAGAACAGGAGCAAAGGUAUUUAACCGUAAAAUCUAAUGCAGACAAAUGACUAAACCUCUGUUUG